RNAcentral lists this ribosomal RNA (219 nucleotides) under Triticum aestivum (bread wheat). RNAcentral's name for it is "partial small subunit ribosomal RNA". Lineage: Eukaryota; Viridiplantae; Streptophyta; Magnoliopsida; Poales; Poaceae. The record is from RNAcentral.
AUGACAUGUUGUGUUAUUCUUCACAAUAUGAUUCUCGAAGAUGCGAGAGACAUGAACUUGGACUUCUUCUACGACAAUGUGGGUAGCCAUGUCAAACCAACUAGAGACCCUAACCGCAUUAGAGCUUUUCUUCAGACAUAUAAGGAGAUUGAAAAUGCAAACACCCACUUUAAGCUUCAGGAGGACCUCAUUGAGCACCAUUGGCAAAGGGUUGGAUAG